RNAcentral lists this ribosomal RNA (1832 nucleotides) under human gut metagenome. Its description in RNAcentral is "bacterial LSU rRNA". It matches the Rfam family "Bacterial large subunit ribosomal RNA", at positions 637 to 2351 of the family's 2925-position model. The record is from RNAcentral.
GUGGCGAGCGUAACCCGUGUGGGGUACGCGUAGUGAAGGCGAGUCUCAAAAGGCGUUUGAGUCGCGUGUCCUGGACCCGAAGCGGGAUGAUCUAGCCCUGAGCAGGUUGAAGCGCGGGUAAGACCGCGUGGAGGACCGAACCCACCUGGGUUGAAAACCGGGGGGAUGACUUGGGGUUAGGGGUGAAAGGCCAAUCAAAUUCCGUGAUAGCUGGUUCUCUCCGAAAUGCAUUUAGGUGCAGCGUCGGGGAUUACGUCCGGGGGGUAGAGCUACUGGAUGCUUGAGGGCCCGUAUCGGGUACCGACAGCAGCCAAACUCCGAAUACCCGUGACGCGUAUCCCGGCAGUGAGUCGGCGGGGGAUAAGCUCCGUCGUCGAAAGGGAGACAGCCCAGAUCGUCGUCUAAGGUCCCCAAGCGCGUGCUAAGUGGGAAAGGAUGUGGAGUCGCAUAGACAGCCAGGAGGUUGGCUCAGAAGCAGCCACCCUUGAAAGAGUGCGUAACAGCUCACUGGUCUAGUGGUUCCGCGCCGACAAUGUAGCGGGGCUCAAGCACGCCACCGAAGACGCGGCAGCGUCCGUCUGGACGCUGGGUAGGAGAGCGUCCCCAUCGGGGCGAAGCGGCGGCGCAAGCCUGCCGUGGACCGUUGGGGAGUGAGAAUGCAGACAUGAGUAGCGAGAGGCGGGUGCGAAUCCCGCCCGCUGGAUGACCAAGGGUUCCGGGGCCACGUUCGUCGUCCCCGGGUGAGUCGGGUCCUAAGGCGAGGCCGACAGGCGUAGUCGAAUGGAUGAACGGGCUGAUAUUCCCGUACCGGCAGCGAACCGAAACAACCGAGGCCUGGGGCGCUAACCUCCGGGCCCGUGCCGUCUCCCCUUUCGGGGGGUCGCGGCGCGGGCGCGUUGGGAUCCCCCCUCGUAGUAGGUCAGCGCAGGAGUGACGCAUCAGGGCAGCCGGCCGCGGAGGUGGUUUUCCGUGGUCAAGCGUUCGAGCCCGUCCCGCAGGCAAAUCCGCGGGGCGUCGGGGCGAGGCGUGAUGAUGGGGGCCUUACGGCCCGAAUCCGGUGAUCCGUGGUGCCGAGAAAAGCUUCGGCGUCAGGCGCGUUGCCGCCCGUACCCCAAACCGACACUGGUGGUCAGGUAGAGAAUACCAAAGCGAUCGAGCGAAUCCUGGUCAAGGAACUCGGCAAAUUGCUCCCGUGCCUUCGGCAUAAGGGAGACCCCCGGCGGUGAACACACUUGCUGUGGGAGCUUUUGGGGGUGGCACAGACCAGGGGGUAGCGACUGUUUACCAAAAACACAGGUGCAUGCGAAGGCGCAAGCCGCUGUAUAUGCACUGACGCCUGCCCGGUGCCGGAAGGUUAAGAGGAUCCGUCAGCCUUCGGGUGAAGCGGUGAAUUCAAGCCCCGGUAAACGGCGGUGGUAACUAUAACCAUCCUAAGGUAGCGAAAUUCCUUGUCGGGUAAGUUCCGACCUGCACGAAUGGCGUAACGACUUCCCCACUGUCUCGACCAGGAGCUCGGCGAAAUUGCAGUACGAGUAAAGAUGCUCGUUAAGCGCAGAAGGACGAAAAGACCCCGGGACCUUUACUAUACCUUGGUAUUGGCAUUCGGUGUGGAUUGUGUAGCAUAGGCGGGAGGCCGAGAGGCGCGGUCGCCAGAUCGCGCGGAGCCGUAAGGUGAAAUACCGCUCUGUUCGCAUUGGAUGUCUAACCUCGAACAGUCAUCCUGUUCAGGGACAGUGCCUGGCGGGUAGUUUAACUGGGGCGGUUGCCUCCCAAAGAGUAACGGAGGCGCCCAAAGGUCCGCUCAGCACAGGUUGGCAAUCGGGUGGCGAGUG